RNAcentral lists this ribosomal RNA (467 nucleotides) under uncultured bacterium. RNAcentral describes it as "partial 16S ribosomal RNA". It matches the Rfam family "Bacterial small subunit ribosomal RNA", at positions 28 to 506 of the family's 1533-position model. The record is from RNAcentral.
GACGAACGCUGGCGGCGUGCUUAACACAUGCAAGUCGAACGGAAAGGCCCUGCUUUUGUGGGGUGCUCGAGUGGCGAACGGGUGAGUAACACGUGAGUAACCUGCCCUUGACUUUGGGAUAACUUCAGGAAACUGGGGCUAAUACCGGAUAGGAGCUCCUGCUGCAUGGUGGGGGUUGGAAAGUUUCGGCGGUUGGGGAUGGACUCGCGGCUUAUCAGCUUGUUGGUGGGGUAGUGGCUUACCAAGGCUUUGACGGGUAGCCGGCCUGAGAGGGUGACCGGCAAAAUGGGGACUGGGAUACGGCCCAGACUCAUACGGGGGGAAGAAGUGGGGAAUAUUGACAAAGGGGCGGAAGCCGGAUGAAGCAACGCCGCGUGCGGGAGGACGGCCUUCGGGUGGUAAACCGCUUUCGCCUGUGACGAAGCGUGAGUGACGGUAAUGGGUAAAGAAGAACCGGCUAACUACGU